UGUUAGAUUGUGUAAUGGGUAACACCCCUGCUAUAUAUGCAGUAGCCCUGGGUUCAAUUCCCAGUCUGGCCA
Non-coding RNA from Hysterangium stoloniferum, 72 nucleotides. The record is from the annotation of a GenBank genome assembly. Lineage: Eukaryota; Fungi; Basidiomycota; Agaricomycetes; Hysterangiales; Hysterangiaceae.